RNAcentral lists this ribosomal RNA (253 nucleotides) under uncultured bacterium. RNAcentral describes it as "partial 16S ribosomal RNA". It matches the Rfam family "Bacterial small subunit ribosomal RNA", at positions 524 to 776 of the family's 1533-position model. The record is from RNAcentral.
UACGGAGGGUGCAAGCGUUGUUCGGAAUUAUUGGGCGUAAAGGGCGCGUAGGCGGGUAUGUAAGUCGAUUGUGAAAUCCCCGGGCUUAACCCGGGAACUGCAGUCGAUACUGCAAAUCUUGAAUGCUUGAGAGGGUACUGGAAUUCCUGGUGUAGAGGUGAAAUUCGUAGAUAUCAGGAGGAACACCGGAGGCGAAGGCGGGUACCUGGCGAGACAUUGACGCUGAAGCGCGAAAGUGCGGGGAUCAAACAGG